This 229-nucleotide ribosomal RNA is filed under the name uncultured bacterium. RNAcentral's name for it is "partial 16S ribosomal RNA". It matches the Rfam family "Bacterial small subunit ribosomal RNA", at positions 568 to 796 of the family's 1533-position model. The record is from RNAcentral.
UGCGUAGGCGGAUAGAUAAGUCAGAGGUGAAAGCCUCCCGCUCAACGGGAGAACUGCCUUUGAUACUGUUUAUCUUGAAUGAGGUUGAGGUUAGCGGAAUGUGACAUGUAGCGGUGAAAUGCAUAGAUAUGUCAUAGAACACCAAUUGCGUAGGCAGCUAGCUAAGCCUUUAUUGACGCUGAGGCACGAAAGCAUGGGGAGCGAACAGGAUUAGAUACCCUGGUAGUCC